Beta vulgaris subsp. vulgaris (sugar beet) is the source of this 489-nucleotide long non-coding RNA. RefSeq lists it as uncharacterized. The transcript has 3 exons. NCBI's taxonomy places the organism in Eukaryota, Viridiplantae, Streptophyta, Magnoliopsida, Caryophyllales, Amaranthaceae. The record is from RefSeq and is a predicted model, not a curated record.
CACGACCCACUCUCGCUCACCUCACGCUGUACCUUCCCUUUCUCUGUCGUUGCUGCCACCGCAGCACAUUUCCGGCGAAGCAGCCACGGUGUAACCACACCGCAACAACCCCUCCGCCACCCAGCCACCUUUUUUCUCUCGCAGCACCAUUUUCUCUCUCCGUCUCCGCGACCCACCUGCACGAACCUCCAUCGGAAACGGCCCACCUUCGUCACUCCGACGAAAUCCGGCGAACCACCCUGACACCUUCAAACUCGCCGCUGCAUUCUCAAUUUCCGGCGAAGCCCUGCUGUCGCACGUCCUCUGCCGCAAGAUUAAGGAAAAAGGGAUAUUACAAGCCUCCCCCGACUAUCAAAGUUACUAAGCAGGAUUUGAGGUAAUGACGGGGAUGACGGAAUGGCGUAGCAGUGAGGAAUAAUUACUACUUAAAUUAUGCAGACUCUUAUUAAUAUGUAUUCUAAGCUUGAGAACAUUAGUUUAUGAACCUUA